This 432-nucleotide ribosomal RNA is filed under the name uncultured bacterium. RNAcentral describes it as "partial 16S ribosomal RNA". It matches the Rfam family "Bacterial small subunit ribosomal RNA", at positions 29 to 506 of the family's 1533-position model. The record is from RNAcentral.
AACGAACGCUGGCGGCAGGCCUAACACAUGCAAGUCGAGCGAGGACUUCGGUCCUAGCGGCGGACGGGUGAGUAACGCGUGGGAACGUGCCCUUUGCUUCGGAAUAGCCCUGGGAAACUGGGAGUAAUACCGGAUGAGCCCUUUGGGGGAAAGAUUUAUCGGCGAAGGAUCGGCCCGCGUUGGAUUAGGUAGUUGGUGGGGUAAUGGCCUACCAAGCCGACGAUCCAUAGCUGGUUUGAGAGGAUGAUCAGCCACACUGGGACUGAGACACGGCCCAGACACCAAUGGGAGGCAGGGGUGGGAAAUGUUGAACAAGGGGAGAACCCUAGGUUUACCGAUUCGGGGUGGAAGAAGAAGGCCGUAGGUUUUUAAACCCCUUACAGCGGGAAAGAUAAUGGAGGUGCCGGCAGAAAAAGCCCCGCCUACCGCCUU